Molecule: ribosomal RNA, 357 nt
Filed under: uncultured bacterium
Lineage: Bacteria
Description: partial 16S ribosomal RNA
Rfam family: Bacterial small subunit ribosomal RNA
Source: RNAcentral
CCUACGGGAGGCUGCAGUGAGGAAUAUUGGUCAAUGGGCUUACGCCUGAACCAGCCAAGUCGCGUGAGGGAAGACUGCCCUAUGGGUUGUAAACCUCUUUUGUCAGGGAGCAACGCCGGCUACGUGUAGCCGGACUGAGAGUACCUGAAGAAAAAGCAUCGGCUAACUCCGUGCCAGCAGCCGCGGUAAUACGGAGGAUGCGAGCGGUAUCCAGAUUGAUUGGGUUUAAAUGUUGCGUAGGCGUACUGCCAAGUCAGCGGUAAAAUCGCGGGGCUCAACCUCGAUCCGAAGUUGAAACUGGCGUUGCUGAGGGGGCGAGAAGAAUGCGACAGGCGUGGUGGAGCGGUGAAAUGCAUA